GCCUUCGUGGUGUAGUGGUCAGCACACUCGGCGCAUAAUCGAGAUGUCCGUGGUUCGAGUCCCGGCGGCGGCA
This is a non-coding RNA of Stegodyphus mimosarum, 73 nucleotides long. The record is from Rfam. Lineage: Eukaryota; Metazoa; Arthropoda; Arachnida; Araneae; Eresidae.